Molecule: ribosomal RNA, 385 nt
Filed under: uncultured bacterium
Lineage: Bacteria
Description: bacterial SSU rRNA
Rfam family: Bacterial small subunit ribosomal RNA
Source: RNAcentral
AUUGAACGCUGGCGGCAUGCUUUACACAUGCAAGUCGAACGGAUUAGAGGGGCUUGCUCCUCUAGUUAGUGGCGAACGGGUGAGUAAUGCAUCGGAACGUACCGUGUAGUGGGGGAUAACCCGGCGAAAGUCGGAUUAAUACCGCAUACGAUCUAAGGAUGAAAGCGGGGGAUCGCAAGACCUCGCGCUAUACGAGCGGCCGAUGUCGGAUUAGCUAGUUGGUAGGGUAAAGGCCUACCAAGGCAACGAUCCGUAGCGGGUCUGAGAGGAUGAUCCGCCACACUGGGACUGAGACACGGCCCAGACUCCUACGGGAGGCAGCAGUGGGAAUUUUGGACAAUGGACGCAAGUCUGAUCCAGCCAUGCCGCGUGAGUGAAGAAGGCC